This 716-nucleotide ribosomal RNA is filed under the name uncultured Pseudomonadales bacterium. Its description in RNAcentral is "bacterial SSU rRNA". It matches the Rfam family "Bacterial small subunit ribosomal RNA", at positions 48 to 758 of the family's 1533-position model. The record is from RNAcentral. Lineage: Bacteria; Pseudomonadati; Pseudomonadota; Gammaproteobacteria; Pseudomonadales.
CUAACACAUGCAAGUCGAGCGGAUGAAGAGAGCUUGCUCUCUGAUUCAGCGGCGGACGGGUGAGUAAUGCCUAGGAAUCUGCCUGGUAGUGGGGGACAACGUUUCGAAAGGAACGCUAAUACCGCAUACGUCCUACGGGAGAAAGUGGGGGAUCUUCGGACCUCACGCUAUCAGAUGAGCCUAGGUCGGAUUAGCUAGUUGGUGAGGUAACGGCUCACCAAGGCGACGAUCCGUAACUGGUCUGAGAGGAUGAUCAGUCACACUGGAACUGAGACACGGGUCCAGACUCCUACGGGAGGCAGCAGUGGGGAAUAUUGGACAAUGGGCGAAAGCCUGAUCCAGCCAUGCCGCGUGUGUGAAGAAGGCCCUCGGGUCGUAAAGCACUUUAAGCUGGGAGGAAGGGUUGUAACUUAAUACGUUGCAGCUUUGACGUUACCAGCAGAAUAAGCACCGGCUAACUCUGUGCCAGCAGCCGCGGUAAUACAGAGGGUGCAAGCGUUAAUCGGAAUUACUGGGCGUAAAGCGCGCGUAGGUGGCUUGGUAAGUUGAAUGUGAAAUCCCCGGGCUCAACCUGGGAACUGCAUCCAAAACUGCCUGGCUAGAGUACGGUAGAGGGUGGUGGAAUUUCCUGUGUAGCGGUGAAAUGCGUAGAUAUAGGAAGGAACACCAGUGGCGAAGGCGACCACCUGGGCUGAUACUGACACUGAGGUGCGAAA